AUGGAAUAACCAAUAUAAAAUUAUUAUUUUCUUGAUAAACGGAGAACACAAAGGCUCCAAACCUCUUUGAACAUCAUCAUAUGUUAGUGCAGGAUGCAACUAGGCAUUAAAACAAUAUUGUCAUAUUUUUUGAAAUUUUCUCAAAAUCUAUGGGCUAUAACCCCUACAAAUAUAUUCAGUUUUUGGUAAAUACUUUAUAUACUGAAUCCUGUAAUCUUUAGUGUUGUUUUAAAAUUUCCAACAUAUUCUACAUUUGUAUUAAUGUAUGCUAAACUCUUUUUCAUGGUAAAUGAGCAUCUUUCAAUAGUUUUUAUCAAAUAAUUUAAUAAAACUUCAUAAUAUUCCCUAAAUCGAAAAAAUAACCACUAUAAAGUUAUUAUUUUCUUGAUAAACGGAGAGCACAAAGGCUCCAAACCUCU
This 419-nucleotide long non-coding RNA is filed under the name Brassica napus (rape). Its description in RNAcentral is "long non-coding RNA (BNAP_LNC001354)". Lineage: Eukaryota; Viridiplantae; Streptophyta; Magnoliopsida; Brassicales; Brassicaceae. The record is from RNAcentral.